This 465-nucleotide ribosomal RNA is filed under the name uncultured Arsenophonus sp. RNAcentral describes it as "bacterial SSU rRNA". It matches the Rfam family "Bacterial small subunit ribosomal RNA", at positions 338 to 795 of the family's 1533-position model. The record is from RNAcentral. Lineage: Bacteria; Pseudomonadati; Pseudomonadota; Gammaproteobacteria; Enterobacterales; Morganellaceae.
CCUACGGGGGGCAGCAGUGGGGAAUAUUGCACAAUGGGCGCAAGCCUGAUGCAGCCAUGCCGCGUGUAUGAAGAAGGCCUUCGGGUUGUAAAGUACUUUCAGUCGUGAGGAAGGUGUUAAGGUUAAUAACCUUAGCAAUUGACGUUAGCGACAGAAGAAGCACCGGCUAACUCCGUUCCACCAGCCGCGGUAAUACGGAGGGUGCGAGCGUUACUCGGGAUUACUGGGCGUAAAGGGCACGCAGGCGGUUUAAUUAAGUGGAUUGUGAAAUCCCGGGGUUAAACUGGGGAUGGCAUUCAAGGAUGGUUAGGUUAGGGUCUGGUGGGGGGGGUAAGAAUCCAAGGGUAGCGGGGAAAAUGGGAAGGGAGUGGGAGGAUGACCGUGGGCGAAGGCGGCCCCUGGACAAAGACUGACGCGCAUGUGCGAAAGCGUGGGGAGCAAACAGGAUUAGAUACCACGGUAGUC